Molecule: unclassified non-coding RNA, 358 nt
Filed under: soil metagenome
Description: partial contains 5.8S ribosomal RNA, internal transcribed spacer 2, and large subunit ribosomal RNA
Rfam family: 5.8S ribosomal RNA (bases 1-120)
Source: RNAcentral
GAUGAAGAACGCAGCGAAAUGCGAUAAGUAAUGUGAAUUGCAGAAUUCAGUGAAUCAUCGAAUCUUUGAACGCACAUUGCGCCCGUCAGUAUUCUGGCGGGCAUGCCUGUUCGAGCGUCAUUACGCCCCUCAAGUCCCCUGUGGACUUGGUGUUGGGGAUCGGCGAGGCUGGUUUUCCAGCACAGCCGUCCCUUAAAUUAAUUGGCGGUCUCGCCGUGGCCCUCCUCUGCGCAGUAGUAAAACACUCGCAACAGGAGCCCGGCGCGGUCCACUGCCGUAAAACCCCCCAACUUUUUAUAGUUGACCUCGAUUCAGGUAGGACUACCCGCUGAACUUAAGCAUAUCAAUAAGCGGAGGA